UGGGGAAUAUUGGACAAUGGGCGAAAGCCUGAUCCAGCCAUGCCGCGUGUGUGAAGAAGGUCUUCGGAUUGUAAAGCACUUUAAGUUGGGAGGAAGGGCAGUAAGCGAAUACCUUGCUGUUUUGACGUUACCGACAGAAUAAGCACCGGCUAACUCUGUGCCAGCAGCCGCGGUAAUACAGAGGGUGCAAGCGUUAAUCGGAAUUACUGGGCGUAAAGCGCGCGUAGGUGGUUCGUUAAGUUGAAUGUGAAAGCCCCGGGCUCAACCUGGGAACUUCAUCCAAAACUGGCGAGCUAGAGUAGGGAAGAGGGUGGUGGAAUUUCCUGUGUAGCGGUCAAAUACGUAGAUAUAGGAAGGAACACCAGUGGCGAAGGCGACCACCUGGGCUCAUACUGACACUGAGGUGCGAAAGCGUGGGGAGCAAACAGG
This 429-nucleotide ribosomal RNA is filed under the name Pseudomonadota bacterium. RNAcentral describes it as "Proteobacteria bacterium partial 16S ribosomal RNA". It matches the Rfam family "Bacterial small subunit ribosomal RNA", at positions 355 to 776 of the family's 1533-position model. The record is from RNAcentral. Lineage: Bacteria; Pseudomonadati; Pseudomonadota.